RNAcentral lists this ribosomal RNA (248 nucleotides) under uncultured Geobacillus sp. RNAcentral describes it as "partial 16S ribosomal RNA". It matches the Rfam family "Bacterial small subunit ribosomal RNA", at positions 524 to 771 of the family's 1533-position model. The record is from RNAcentral. Lineage: Bacteria; Bacillati; Bacillota; Bacilli; Caryophanales; Anoxybacillaceae.
UACGUAGGGGGCGAGCGUUGUCCGGAAUUAUUGGGCGUAAAGCGCGCGCAGGCGGUCUCUUAAGUCUGAUGUGAAAGCCCACGGCUCAACCGUGGAGAGUCAUUGGAAACUGGGGGACUUGAGGGCAGGAGAGGAGAGCGGAAUUCCACGUGUAGCGGUGAAAUGCGUAGAGAUGUGGAGGAACACCAGUGGCGAAGGCGGCUCUCUGGCCUGCACCUGACGCUGAGGCGCGAAAGCGUGGGGAGCAA